GAAAUGCGAUAAGUAAUGCGAAUUGCAGAAUUUCCGUGAAUCAUCGAAUCUUUGAACGCACAUUGCGCCCGCCAGCACUCUGGCGGGCAUGCCUGUUCGAGCGUCAUUUCAACCCUCAGAACCCCUUGCGGGAUCUGGCGUUGGGGAUUGGCAUCCAGCCAGCCCCGAAAUCUAGUGGCGGUCCCUCCGCGACCUCCCCUGUGCAGUAGCGAUACCUCGCAGCGGGACAGCGGUCUGACCACGCCGUAAAACCCCCAACUUCUCAAGGUUGACCUCGAAUCAGGUAGGAAUACCCGCUGAACUUAAGC
Molecule: unclassified non-coding RNA, 308 nt
Filed under: plant metagenome
Description: partial contains 5.8S ribosomal RNA, internal transcribed spacer 2, and large subunit ribosomal RNA
Rfam family: 5.8S ribosomal RNA (bases 1-106)
Source: RNAcentral